This 74-nucleotide transfer RNA is filed under the name Aspergillus sojae NBRC 4239. RNAcentral's name for it is "tRNA-Cys (GCA) (tRNA-Cys-GCA-5-1)". It matches the Rfam family "tRNA". From Rfam's summary of the family: Transfer RNA (tRNA) molecules are approximately 80 nucleotides in length. Their secondary structure includes four short double-helical elements and three loops (D, anti-codon, and T loops). The record is from RNAcentral. Lineage: Eukaryota; Fungi; Ascomycota; Eurotiomycetes; Eurotiales; Aspergillaceae.
CCCCCGAUGGUCUAGUUGGAUAUGGCGUUUGGCUGCAAACCAAAACAUGGCUGGCUCGAUUCCGGCUCGGGGGA